Molecule: small RNA, 1231 nt
Filed under: uncultured Alphaproteobacteria bacterium
Lineage: Bacteria; Pseudomonadati; Pseudomonadota; Alphaproteobacteria
Description: bacterial SSU rRNA
Rfam family: Bacterial small subunit ribosomal RNA (bases 1-468)
Source: RNAcentral
GUCGUGAGAUGUUGGGUUAAGUCCCGCAACGAGCGCAACCCUCAUCUUCAGUUGCCAUCGGUUCGGCCGGGCACUCUGGAGAAACUGCCGGUGACAAGCCGGAGGAAGGCGGGGAUGACGUCAAGUCCUCAUGGCCCUUACGGGCUGGGCUACACACGUGCUACAAUGGCGGUGACAGCGGGGAGCGAUGGGGUGACCCGGAGCCAAUCCCGAAAAGCCGUCUCAGUUCGGAUUGCACUCUGCAACUCGAGUGCAUGAAGUUGGAAUCGCUAGUAAUCGCGGAUCAGCAUGCCGCGGUGAAUACGUUCCCGGGCCUUGUACACACCGCCCGUCACACCAUGGGAGUUGGUUUUACCCGAAGCCGGUGCGCUAACCGCAAGGAGGCAGCCGACCACGGUAAGGUCAGCGACUGGGGUGAAGUCGUAACAAGGUAGCCGUAGGGGAACCUGCGGCUGGAUCACCUCCUUUCUAAGGAUGCGGGAUGAUGGCUUGCCAUGAUCCUGCGUUUUCUAGACAAAGCGGCUCAAGGCCGUGGCCGCCGCCUGCGCAUCCCUUCUUCUCCGGAACCAGAAGCCAGAAGGCCAGAAGCCAGAAGCCAGAACGGCUUCAGGUUCGGGUCUUGUUGGCCUUCGACCGGGCUAGUAGCUCAGUUGGUUAGAGCGCGCGCUUGAUAAGCGUGAGGUCGGAGGUUCAAGUCCUCCCUGGCCCACCAGUCAGAGGACAGAUGACAGGGAUCAGGUAUCAGAGGGCGUCUUGAUCCCUGAUACCUGAUACCUGUCCUCUGAUCGGGGCUGUAGCUCAGUUGGGAGAGCGCCUGCUUUGCAAGCAGGAGGUCAUCGGUUCGAUCCCGUUCAGCUCCACCAGGGGUUGGCGGCGGUUCCGGAAAAGCGAUCGCAUUAGGGUGGGCUUUGGGAUCUCUGAUCCCUGAUGCCCGAUCCCUGACAUCUGAUCUUUGACAUUGUGGAUAGGUUUGUGUGGCCGGCCCGAGGCAGGGUCUUUGGCGGGGAGUCUCCCCGCGUGUUCGCCUUGGGCUGGCAGAGAAGAAGUGCUGAGUAUGCCGUUUCGUCCGAUAGCAGGGCAUUGGCCGGUUGGCCUCUGCGUUGUGAGUUUGGCGAGCGGAUCAAGCGUCUAAGGGCAUUUGGUGAAUGCCUUGGCACUGAGAGGCGAUGAAGGACGUAGCACGCUGCGAUAAGCCGCGGGGAGGGGCGAGCGCCCGUUGAUCCGUGGAUUU